Molecule: ribosomal RNA, 404 nt
Filed under: uncultured fungus
Lineage: Eukaryota; Fungi
Description: eukaryotic LSU rRNA
Rfam family: 5.8S ribosomal RNA (bases 1-125)
Source: RNAcentral
GCAUCGAUGAAGAACGCAGCGAAAUGCGAUAAGUAAUGUGAAUUGCAGAAUUCAGUGAAUCAUCGAAUCUUUGAACGCACCUUGCGCUCCAUGGUAUUCCGUGGAGCAUGCCUGUUUGAGUGUCAUGAAUACUUCAACCCUCCUCUUUCUUAAUGAUUGAAGAGGUGUUUGGUUUCUGAGCGCUGCUGGCCUUUACAGUCUAGCUCGUUCGUAAUGCAUUAGCAUCCGCAAUCGAACUUCGGAUUGACUUGGCGUAAUAGACUAUUCGCUGAGGAAUUCUAGUCUUCGGAUUAGAGCCGGGUUGGGUUAAAGGAAGCUUCUAAUCAGAAUGUCUACAUUUUAAGAUUAGAUCUCAAAUCAGGUAGGACUACCCGCUGAACUUAAGCAUAUCAAUAAGCGGAGGA